GUCUAAUUGGAAAAGAUUGCUUCAUGAGGAAAUGAAUUCUAGAAGUCUUCAAGAAGAAAUAGAGAAUAUAAUCUUGGGGGAAGGAGAACCAAAAACCUUGUAACUGAUUGACUUUCAGCCAACUGGCUAUUAUUACAUGGAAGAAAGAUCUGUACUUGAAAAGCAAUUCCGAGGAAUGAGACUUAUUCCCCUCUGUGCAGAUUUUGCUGUCUAGAUGUCUGGUUUCUCCUCCUGCUUUUGAGUCUCCAG
This 249-nucleotide long non-coding RNA is filed under the name Monodelphis domestica (gray short-tailed opossum). Its description in RNAcentral is "lncRNA (ENSMODG00000031694.2)". The record is from RNAcentral. Lineage: Eukaryota; Metazoa; Chordata; Mammalia; Didelphimorphia; Didelphidae.